AGAGUUGAUCAUGGCUCAGGACGAACGCUGGCGGCGUGCCUAACACAUGCAAGUCGAGCGGGGACAUACGACGGAGUCAAAGUUUCGGAUGGAGACGAAGAUGUAUGUUCUAGCGGCGGACGGGUGAGUAACGCGUGAGCAACCUGUCCCUUACAGGGGGAUAACACAGCGAAAGUUGUACUAAUACCGCAUGAGACCACGGGAGGACAUCCUCCAGGGGUCAAAGGAGCAAUCCGGUAAGGGGUGGGCUCGCGUCCGAUUAGAUAGUUGGUGAGGUAACGGCCCACCAAGUCGACGAUCGGUAGCCGACCUGAGAGGGUGAUCGGCCACAUUGGGACUGAGACACGGCCCAAACUCCUACGGGAGGCAGCAGUGGGGAAUAUUGGGCAAUGGGGGGAAACCCUGACCCAGCAACGCCGCGUGAGGGAAGAAGGUUUUCGGAUCGUAAACCUCUGUCCUUGGUGAAGAGGAAGAGGCGGUAGCCAAGGAGGAAGCCCCGGCUAACUACGUGCCAGCCGCGGC
This 522-nucleotide ribosomal RNA is filed under the name uncultured bacterium. Its description in RNAcentral is "bacterial SSU rRNA". It matches the Rfam family "Bacterial small subunit ribosomal RNA", at positions 8 to 518 of the family's 1533-position model. The record is from RNAcentral.